This 454-nucleotide ribosomal RNA is filed under the name uncultured bacterium. Its description in RNAcentral is "partial 16S ribosomal RNA". It matches the Rfam family "Bacterial small subunit ribosomal RNA", at positions 341 to 792 of the family's 1533-position model. The record is from RNAcentral.
ACGGAAGGCAGCAGUAGGGGAUAUUGGGCAAUGGAGGCAACUCUGACCCAGCCAUGCCGCGUGAAGGAAGACGGUCCUAUGGAUUGUAAACUUCUUUUGCCGCAGAGUAACCGCGGGGACGCGUCCCCGCCUGAGAGUAUGCGGCGAAUAAGUAUCGGCUAACUCCGUGCCAGCAGCCGCGGUAAUACGGAGGAUACGAGCGUUAUCCGGAUUUAUUGGGUUUAAAGGGUGCGCAGGCGGAUCGGUAAGUCAUUGGUGAAAAGUUGGGGCUCAACUCCAAUCGUGCCUAUGAUACUGCCGGACUAGAGUGCAAGCGACGUAACUGGAAUGUGGUGUGUAGCGGUGAAAUGCUUAGAUAUGCCACAGAACACCGAUCGAGAAGUCAGGUCACGAGCUCGCAACUGACGCUCAGGCACGAAAGCGUGGGGAUCAAACAGGAUUAGAUACCCUGGUA